Molecule: long non-coding RNA, 275 nt
Filed under: Anas platyrhynchos platyrhynchos (common mallard)
Lineage: Eukaryota; Metazoa; Chordata; Aves; Anseriformes; Anatidae
Description: lncRNA (ENSAPLG00000030964.1)
Source: RNAcentral
CUUUCUCCUCACUGUCAGCACAGGUUUUGUAAAGGUUAAGUGAGCCACAUCCUUUCUGACUGUCUGAGUACACACAUAGGCAGAGCUGAGUGGCAGCCAAACACCUUGAACUUUGCAGCACUCAGGAUUCUUUAGCAUCUCACUGUGUGUGCAGCUGUGUGUUGCCAUUGCCAGUACUCCAGGCACAGCCCAGCCCACAGUGUUCUGUUCCGUGAUGGAAUCUCAUGAUGCAGAGAGGACACACUUGCUCAAUUCUGUGACUAAUAUUUGAUCUG